CAAAAUGUAGCUUACUCAAAGCACUUCGCUUACACCAAAGAGACGUCUAAAUCUAGACCAUUUUGA
This 66-nucleotide transfer RNA is filed under the name Anilany helenae. Its description in RNAcentral is "tRNA-Val". Lineage: Eukaryota; Metazoa; Chordata; Amphibia; Anura; Microhylidae. The record is from RNAcentral.